This 433-nucleotide ribosomal RNA is filed under the name uncultured bacterium. RNAcentral's name for it is "partial 16S ribosomal RNA". It matches the Rfam family "Bacterial small subunit ribosomal RNA", at positions 29 to 507 of the family's 1533-position model. The record is from RNAcentral.
AACGAACGCUGGCGGCAUGCCUAACACAUGCAAGUCGAACGAGACCAUCGGGUCUAGUGGCCCCCGGGUGUGUAACGCGUGGGAUCAUGCCCUUAGGUUCGGAAUAACUACCAGAAAGGGGUGCCAUUACGGGACCAUGUCUUCGGACCAAUGAUUUAUUGGCUUUGGAUGGGCCAGCGUUGGAUUAGCUAGUUGGUAGGGUUAAAGAUUACCAAGGCGACGAUACAUAGCUGGUCUGAGAGGAUGAUUAGCCACACUGGGACUGAGACACGGCCCAGACUCCUACGGGAGGCAGCGGUGGGGAAUAUUAGACAAUGGGCGAAAGCCUGAUCCAGCAAUGCCGCGUAAGUGAUUAAGGCCUGAGAGUUGUAAAGCGCAUUUACCCGGGAUGAUAAUGACGGUACCGUGAGAAUAAGCUCCGGCUAACUCCGUG